UCUGACAUGACCCGCCCCUUGUCGUCCUCUCUCCCAUCUGCAACUGCGACUAUCACUGCUGCGACUACUUCCCUAAAUUUCAAGCGAGCACCACACAAUCACCAGAAGCCUUGGCAUCCAUGCUCCUGUCGGCUCCAGAGGACAGUGAGAAGAGAACCACCACUGUGUGCUCCUGCUAUGCUCCAAUUAAGAGACAGCACAGCAAGAGCUGUGAGGGAAGUGAGAGCAAGAGGGUCAUUACCCCCAUGAAGGGCCAUGCCAAUGGCCAAGGUCCACCUGCUGACCCAAACCUACCACCCCCUCCUCCCCCACCUCUUCCUCCCCCUUUGAAGAGUAAUCUCAAGAAGCCAACUACGGUUGGAGAGCACCAGAUGAUGAUGAUGAGGGAUGAGAGGAGGAAAGUAAGCUGGCCUGAUGCUCAUGGCAGAGACCUUGCCCAUGUCCAAGUGUUCCACUCGAGUGUGGUGGAAGAAGGGGAGUUUGCAGCGGCAGGGAAGUCCUGCGUUUGUACCAUCCAGUGAAGCAGAUCAUCAGUGGAGAUGGUUGUUUUGAUUGGUGGUCCUGAAACAUCUCAAACUUCAAAUGGAAAACAAGCACAACCCUAUGCUGAUGCACACAAGCCAGUCACUGGCAAGAAAAAAUUGGUAAAGAGGCUUCUACUUCUGCUUCUACCUUGUUCUUGAACACAUCUAGUUGUAGAUACCUUUCAGAAGCUUGCAAAGACAUGGGUAUUCAUCCAAGUUUUCUACUUCAGGCAGGAAAUGGAUAGUAGAAAGCUUUUUUGAUCCUUCUGUGGAGGCCUUGAUUUGAUGAGAGAGGCUUGAUUGUAAAGAUGCUACUGGAACUAGUUGAUACUUAAUGCUACUAAAGGAUGCAGAAUAGUUGACACCAUGUAAAGAUAAUUUGAUCAGUUUGAGCAUAUGCUUGUAAUGAAUUGUGUUACUGCCUCUAUGAUUAAGGAGAAUAAUACUUCUUAGCAGAAGA
Musa acuminata subsp. malaccensis (wild Malaysian banana) is the source of this 984-nucleotide long non-coding RNA. RefSeq lists it as uncharacterized. The record is from RefSeq and is a predicted model, not a curated record. Lineage: Eukaryota; Viridiplantae; Streptophyta; Magnoliopsida; Zingiberales; Musaceae.